Long non-coding RNA from Panicum virgatum (switchgrass), 363 nucleotides. RefSeq lists it as uncharacterized. The transcript is spliced from 2 exons. NCBI's taxonomy places the organism in Eukaryota, Viridiplantae, Streptophyta, Magnoliopsida, Poales, Poaceae. The record is from RefSeq and is a predicted model, not a curated record.
AGCCCAUAUUAAAAAUAUCAUAAAAGUACACAAGGCACACUAGAGGAGCAAAUGUUCUAUAACAGGGAGAACUUUACAAGAGAUUAUUCAAAUGAGACACGAUAACCCAACAGAUCAGGGUUUUGUUUUUACAUCAAGAGCCACAAUUGAUCGCUUCGAAAAUACUUCCUGGUGGUAGAUGUCAUGCAAUAGUUGCAACAAAAUGCGCACUAAGAUAGCCAACAAGUAUCACUGCCGUAAAUGCAAUACAUGUCCAGAAGCAAUAACACCUAGGUACUCAUACUUUCCCGAACAUUGAUUUCCAAACACCAUGUUAUUCAUUCUAACCAUGAUAAUAUAUGUAUUGGAUUCGUCUCCGAAUUA